AUAGUACUCCCUCCGUCUCCAAUUUUUUGUCUUAGCUUUGUCUUGAAAUGGAUGUAUCUAAAUACUAAAAUUUGACUAGAUAUAUACAUUCACGUUUAAACAAAUCUAAGAUAAGAAUUUUAGGACGGAGGGAGUAUCAA
This 140-nucleotide microRNA precursor is filed under the name Hordeum vulgare. Its description in RNAcentral is "microRNA MIR1122". It matches the Rfam family "MIR1120/MIR1122 microRNA precursor family". Lineage: Eukaryota; Viridiplantae; Streptophyta; Magnoliopsida; Poales; Poaceae. The record is from RNAcentral.